GAUGAACGCUGGCGGCGUGCUUAACACAUGCAAGUCGAACGGUGAAGGCGGAGCUUGCUCUGCUGGAUCAGUGGCGAACGGGUGAGUAACACGUGAGCAAUCUGCCCCUGACUCUGGGAUAAGCGCUGGAAACGGCGUCUAAUACUGGAUACGAGCUGCGAAGGCAUCUUCAGCAGCUGGAAAGAAUUUCGGUCAGGGAUGAGCUCGCGGCCUAUCAGCUUGUUGGUGAGGUAAUGGCUCACCAAGGCGUCGACGGGUAGCCGGCCUGAGAGGGCGACCGGCCACACUGGGACUGAGACACGGCCCAGACUCCUACGGGAGGCAGCAGUGGGGAAUAUUGCACAAUGGGCGAAAGCCUGAUGCAGCAACGCCGCGUGAGGGACGACGGCCUUCGGGUUGUAAACCUCUUUUAGCAGGGAAGAAGCGAAAGUGACGGUACCUGCAGAAAAAGCGCCGGCUAACUACGUG
RNAcentral lists this ribosomal RNA (468 nucleotides) under uncultured bacterium. RNAcentral's name for it is "partial 16S ribosomal RNA". It matches the Rfam family "Bacterial small subunit ribosomal RNA", at positions 28 to 507 of the family's 1533-position model. The record is from RNAcentral.